This 1024-nucleotide long non-coding RNA is filed under the name Lotus japonicus. Its description in RNAcentral is "long non-coding RNA (LJAP_LNC001736)". Lineage: Eukaryota; Viridiplantae; Streptophyta; Magnoliopsida; Fabales; Fabaceae. The record is from RNAcentral.
CAUGUACAUACACCUCAUGAUGUCCUUUCCAGCAAGUUUCUCUACGGCCACUCUACACCAUCAUUUUAACCGUUGAUUAUAAAUUAUAAUAAUCAAUGGCUAAUAUUGAUCUCAAUAAAAAAAAACUUGUCAAAUAAAAUAGUUGAUUGUGAUUUGUAUGUUGCUGAAGCUGGAGAGGCAGCAGAGUAUCUAAAUCCGCCUACCAAUCUUUUUCCAUAACAUUGUAAUCAGUUCAGUGAUCAAUCAUGAACAAAGUUUUACCCUCUCAAAUUCAGUUUCUCCCUGUUGGAUCAGAAUUCUCAUGCAAGAACAUUCAGAUUUGGAUCAUUUGUCCUCAUAUGAAAUGAUUCCUCGUUGUAGUUGAGUGCGGAGUGCACCAUAACCAAUCUGAUCAUGGAAAGAGAUACCAGCCUAUCAGGGGAAUGCUUAUUGGAUUGAGCUCAAAUCAUAGCCGUUUUAUGCUUCACAUUCUUCAAGUUUAUUAGAUUCCUGGUUUGAUUCCAACACUGUUCAGCACAAGUUAACGUGCAUUAGGGAAAACCCUGUUGACCAUUAAUGUUAAUCUAACCUAUGAAACAUGGAAAAAGCAGUCACUCCUAAUAAGUGCUAAAUAAAUUCUAUAUUGUUUCUGAUUAUUCAAGUAGAUCUUUAUCUAAUCGAGUCGAACAAAUCCUAAAUUUAUUUUUGGGAUAUUCAAUCGAAUUGGAAUAAGUAAUGUGUAUCACAUGCUUUGAUGCGACAGAUUAUGAAAUUCAUUGGAACCCAAACACUAUGAAGAGAUGAAUAUAUAAAAAGAGUAAACAAAACUUAGGGAGGUGUAAAGUUGGCUGCUAAUCAAUUAGUUAAUAUUAACCUUACUAUAGUGGUGAUUCCUUCAGGGGCAGGGAAAAAUGUUAAUUAUGAUAAUGGGUCAUAUAUAAGGCCUUCAAUAUCCCAGAAACUGAAGCAUUAAUUGUUAGAGGAACUCUGAAAACAGGGAACUUACUCUGUAAUUUGCUGCAGCAACCUCGAAGCUAGUUCAAAC